GAUGAAGAACGCAGCGAAAUGCGAUAAGUAGUGUGAAUUGCAGAAUUCAGUGAAUCAUCGAAUCUUUGAACGCACAUUGCGCCCCUUGGUAUCCCGAGGGGCAUGCCUGUUCGAGCGUCAUUUCACCACUCAAGCCUGGCUUGGUGUUGGGCGACGUCCCCUUUGGGGACGCGCCUCGAAACGCUCGGCGGCGUGGCACCGGCUUUAAGCGUAGCAGAAUCUUUCGCUUUGGAAGUCGGGGCCCCGUCUGCCGGAAGACCUACUCGCAAGGUUGACCUCGGAUCAGGCAGGGAUACCCGCUGAACCUAAGCAUAUCAAUAAGCGGAGGA
RNAcentral lists this unclassified non-coding RNA (329 nucleotides) under soil metagenome. RNAcentral describes it as "partial contains 5.8S ribosomal RNA, internal transcribed spacer 2, and large subunit ribosomal RNA". The stretch from base 1 to 120 matches the Rfam family "5.8S ribosomal RNA", at positions 35 to 154 of the family's 154-position model. The record is from RNAcentral.